This 7095-nucleotide long non-coding RNA is filed under the name Xyrichtys novacula (pearly razorfish). Lineage: Eukaryota; Metazoa; Chordata; Actinopteri; Labriformes; Labridae. The record is from RNAcentral.
GGUCAUCAUUUUGAAUCAUGAAGCUUCCUCUGCUGCUGCUCUGCUCUGUGCUGCUGCUCUCCAUCUCAGGUCUGUCUCUUUUUAAAGGUUUAUUUAUCACAUGUUUAAGCUACAGAGUCAAAACUCUUUACUGGCCAAAGUACCAACUUGUAAAACUCUAAACUGAUUGAACCUCAAACUGACCACAGUUACUCUGCUGUCACUGUGAUGAUUAAUCUUGGAACAGAGCUCAGAUUAAAGGCCAGUGGAAAAAAGUUUUUUGGACUUUAGGAUUCAUUAAGGGAAUUAUUCAUUCAUGGACAUGUUGAUUUAUGAUGAAUAGAGUGUAAACACAGAUUAGUGUGUUUAUUUUUGUUUGCUUUAACAUGUUUUUUUGUUUUUUACAGACAGACUGUGACAUUAAUGUGUUAACUAUGAACUGUUUCUGACUAUGAUCUAAGUAUGCAUUACUGAACUCCAUUAAUCAGGACUGAAAUUCUAUCUUCAUAAGGGAAAAGGUUGUGAGAUGAAAUAGUUCCUCUUUCACAGGGUGUCAACCUCACUUCAGGUCCUUUUUACAGAGACAGAAAAGAUGCAGAGUGAUGAUCUGCUGGGUCACAUUUCUCUGAGCUAAACACUGUGACAUCUUCCCAUUGUUCUCUAACGAAUGUGUUUGUGUGUCUUCAGAGAUACGGACUGAUAUUAGAUUAUUUUUUAUCCAGUUUUCUCAUAGAGGAGGCUGUGGUUUUUUCUCUCAGUCCAUGUGACCGUUUUACAGCAAUAAAACAUAAAUUUAUGCUCCACCACAGUGAGCAAUAAUCAUUGGAGGACAGUAAAGAAUUGUAAUAAGUCUCCUCAAAGAAUAAUACUCCAGCGAAUACUCAAAAAUGGGACUUGGCCAUGACCGACAUUAACACACAACAGGUGGAUAUUUUUUCCCACCUUAUUGUUCACAGCUUGUAACCUUAGAGCCUUGCUUCUCUUCACACACCUGACUGUUGUCUACUGUAUUAUUUAGAAAAUUAAAAAAAUUAGACCGGUCCCUUUUAAAGCUUUAAAUCUCUUCUCUGACAGAAAAGCCACACCUGCCACAUUCAUCUAAAGAUUAUUACUGAGAUAGGAGUCACUCUCUGUUCAAUUGAAUCUCAUGUGUAAUGUGUAUACGUGCAUGCGUGCAUUUGUGUGUGUGUGUGUGUGUGUGUGUGUGUAGUCCUGUCUCAGGAAAAUGAGGGUCCAGCUGACGGACAAGGAGACUGUGCUGAACCCUGGGCGGUAAGACUCAGAAACACACACAUUAACACACUAAUACUCAUGCAGAGCUCAGAGGAGUGGUGUGUUUCCGUUGAUGUUAAGUUGUAAACAUGAUUCCGUCACUUCUAAACCUUCUGGGGUGAAUUCACCAAGAACAGAGUGGAGUUGCCUUUUGUACCAUGAGUUGUGCAUCAUUUGCCUCUGCUCUGAGCUCCAUCUCCACCACUCAUGUACAUUUGUGUAGUAAUUAAAGGCUACAAAUUUAUUGAUGAGAUGCGUGUGUGUGUGUUUUUGCGUGUGUUUUUGUGUGUGCGUGUGUGUUUUAUCCAGGCCCAUUGUGAGAAAUACGACUUACCUUACUGCUUUAAGGUUUAUAACCCUGUUUGCGGUGAUGAUGGCGUAACCUACAGUAACGAGUGUACACUCUGUUUUCACAACUUGUAAGAUGUGCACACACACACACACACGCACGCACGCACAACCACACACACACACACACACACACACACACACACACACACACACACACACACACACACACACACACACACACACACACAAAUCUGCUCUUUCAAUCCUUUUCUACCUGUUAAGGUAAUUCGUGGAGACAGUUGAUUACUGGACAGCUGACCAGUAACUUCUGCUCUUAGAUCAAUCUGAUGUUUUCAUCCAUUGUCUGUGCUCUUACUGAGCUCAGAUCAAUGGAUAGCUUAGUUUGAGCAGAGAGAGCAGUGUGUUGUUAGCAUGCAGAUGGAUCAUGAUGGCUGCAUCAUUGAGUUUAAAGAGAUUUUAGGGUGAACAGGUUGUAUUUCUGUGAGUUGGGCUCUUUUAUGCUCUAGUGAGACUGUGAGAUUCUGGAUACAUGAUUUUGGCCAGUAUGCAGUAUGUCUCCAGAAAAUAAAAAGAGGCUGAGAGAGGAACCCUGAAGAACACCAUACUGAGGUUUAUCAGAGAGACAGAAAAACUCCUGUCAGAGAUAUAUUUACAGUCUAUAGCUCCCACACUCUGAUUUCUCAAAGACUAUUUUUACAAUAUUCGUAUUAACUCCACACACACAUUUCAAAUGUAAAAACUAACUCCUUGAAUGUUCUGGGGGUUUUUUUGUUUGUUUUUCUACAGGGAGAAUCACGCCACUGUGAAAAUCCUGAGAGAAGGGGAAUGCGAUUAACUGCUGUGUGCCACACGCAUGCACACACAUACUGAAUAAAGUCUCAUACUGAUUCCCUCACACCCUCUGUCUGUGUGUUCAUUUCACUUGAACUCUGAAGAUAAAGCAGCGUCUGAAACACUGAUCUCCAUGUUUGGAGCUCGACCACCUACCUCAUGUUUUUACCUGUUCAGACCCAACAGUAAAUUAAUGAAUAACUCUGAGAAACAUCAAAACACUGCGCUGUUAGGAUAAAAUAUUACCUUACACCCACAAACAUUUUACAUAACAAAACAACAAACAUUAACAAAAUCUGUAUUGGAAAACACACAAAGAAUAAAGAAAAUAUUAAAAUGUUUAAGAACAACAAAAACAUUUUGAAAACAAAAAUAGUUGGAAACAGAUAUUUUCAAAACAUAAGAGAACUUUGAUAAAGGAAAAAAUAUUGUAAAACCAUUAAAAUUGUUUAUAAAACGCAAAUCUUGGAACCAUGAAAAUAUUUUGAAAACACAAAUAAAUUUGUAAAUACAAAAAUAUAUAAAAAAAAAAAAAUAGUCAUGAGAAAAAACAAUAAUACUUAAGAGUAUAAAGAAAAAUUCUCUUACCUAAAAAUGUUCUGCUCUCAAAAUAUUUUGCUGCCAAAGGGGUAGGGGUAGGGCCAAACCACUUGAUUGUGAUGGGACAAAAUUGAGGUGCUGAAGUAUUUAACAUUUUUGUAUUUUCAAAAUAUAUUUGCUUUUUUAAUUAUUAUCACCUUUUUUUUAAUUAGUGUUGAUCUGUGGUUUAAAAAUCGGUCUGCUUUUUAUACAAAGUACUAGGGCCGAAAGUCUGUUGAUCCUGGAGAAUUCUCAGAUAUUAACCCAUUCAGACAGCACAUUUACAUGUUGUUCAAAAGUUAGGAUUUUUGCCUUAGUUGGACUGGGACUGGACCUCUGGUAUUUUGGCCUCCUGUGUGGAAUAGAUAAUUCACAAAAAUAAAGUUGAUUUAACUCUAUAGCUCCUGGAACUCACUAUGCAACAUGUACCUGCCCUCCUCAAAGCAUGUGUCAUGUCCUUUGUUGCAGCAUUUCUUAUUUCUUAAUUUCCUGUUUUUUUUGUCCUGUCAUAUGUUUUUGUGUAACUGUAGCCUAGUACUUUUGAAAAGUCAUCAGUGAAAAAAAAAAGGUGCAUCCUCUCUCGGAUCAAUGUGAAAGUGCAUUUUUAAAACUGUAACAAAACAAACUCCAACCACAGUAUGAAGAAACUGAAAAGAAACAAACUAUAAAGUCAGUUGAACAGAGAAGAAGAAGACGACCUUUAUUGAUCCCCGAGGGGAAAUUCAUUGAGAUAUAUAAUAUAUAAUAUACCCCUCAGAGCAGGUGUACAUUAGUUUUACUUUAAAUACAUGCUAUAUGAUCUUUGUCUGUUUUUAAGGUUUAUAAAAUAAAGGGUGUCACAUUUAUUUAUUUACCACUAACCCUAACCAAUAACAAUGUAAUCAACAAAUUAUUAAAAGUGUUUCAUAGUUUUAUUAAAAGGUCUUUAUACCCAGCAUAAUUUAAAAUGAUUAAAUUCUGGAAGUCGUCAAGCUUCCUGUGUUUAUCUAAAGCAAUGUUUUUACAUGCAUAUCAAUCACGUUUAACAUAACUGUAAUAUAUGGUGUCAUCUCUCCUGUUUAAGCUUCUUUGAACCGGCUUUCUACUUGUUCUUCGAUUUUACUGAUGACUUUUAAAGCUCCCCAUUGCUUUUUUUCAGCUAGAACAUCUGAUAGUGCUGUUUGAGCUGACACAUACAAGAUCCAUCUGCUGAGAUCUGUGCCUUAGCAGUGAAGGAUCAAAACUCUCAUGGAUCAGUCUGCCAAAGGGGAUCAGGUCUGCUUAGUAACUCAUCUCUUAAAUUUUCCUGAACACUUUUAUUUGUGAGUCAGUCCUGAUCUUACACAAUAUUGGGGUCUAUCAAAUUUAUCUCCUACAGUUCUGUUGUAUUUUGCUGUCUGCGUUGUGCACUGUAUAUGGGAUUUUGAUGGUCUAUUAAGUGAAGUUUAUCAUUAUAUAUAUUAAUCAGAAGGAUAUUAGUGUUAGAUUUAAAAAAAAACGGAUUCCCGAUGACGAACAUCAGUACUCUGAUCAGACGCAACGGUCUUUGUAACCACUAAGGGGCACUGCUGCACAGGAAACUCCGUAAGUCUUAAUAUACAAGCAUGUAGUUCCUGCUGCGGGCCAACAGGAGGCGCAGCGAAAAUUUGAAUUUUGUUUUCUAUAUAUACUUAUUCAUUGACUGAUUGGUCAUCAUUUUGAAUCAUGAAGCUUCCUCUGCUGCUGCUCUGCUCUGUGCUGCUGCUCUCCAUCUCAGGUCUGUCUCUUUUUUAAGGUUUAUUUAUCACAUGUUUAAGCUACAGAGUCAAAACUCUUUAAUGGCCAAAGUACCAACUUGUAAAGCUCCAAACUGAUUGAACCUCAAACUGACCACAGUUACUCUGCUGUCACUGUGAUGAUUAAUCUUGGAACAGAGCUCAGAUUAAAGGCCAGUGGAAAAAAGUUUUUUGGACUUUAGGAUUCAUUAAGGGAAUUAUUCAUUCAUGGACAUGUUGAUUUAUGAUGAAUAGAGUGUAAACACAGAUUAGUGUGUUUAUUUUUGUUUGCUUUAACAUGUUUUUUGUUUUUUACAGACAGACUGUGACAUUAAUGUGUUAACUAUGAACUGUUUCUGACUAUGAUCUAAGUAUGCAUUACUGAACUCCAUUAAUCAGGACUGAAAUUCUAUCUUUAUAAGGGAAAAGGCUGUGAGAUGAAAUAGUUCCUCUUUCACAGGUUGUCAACCUCACUUCAGGUCCUUUUUACAGAGACAGAAAAGAUGCAGAGUGAUGAUCUGCUGGGUCACAUUUCUGAGCCAAACACUGUGACAUCUUCCCAUUGUUCUCUAACGAAUGUGUUUGUGUGUCUUCAGAGAUACGGACUGAUAUUAGAUUGUUUUUUUAUCCAGUUUUCUCAUAGAGGAGGCUGUGGUUUUUUCUCUCAGUCCAUGUCACCGUCUUACGGCAAUAAAACAUAGCUUUAAGCUCCACCACAGUGAGCAAUAAUCAUUGGAGGACAGUAAAGAAUUGUAUUUAGUCUCCUCAAAGAAUAAUACUACAGCGAAUACUCAAAAAUGGACUUUGCCAUGACCUACAUUAACACACAACAGGUGGAUAUUUUUUCCCACCUUAUUGUUCACAGCUUGUAACCUUAGAGCCUUGCUUCUCUUCACACACCUGACUGUUAUCUACUGUUUUAUUUAGAAAAUUAAAAAAUUAGACCGGUCCCUUUUAAAGCUUUCAAUCCCUUCUCUGACAGAAAAGCCACACCUGCCACAUUCAUCUACAGAUUAUUACUCAGAUUGGAGUCACUCUCUGUUCAACUGAAUCUGAUGUGUAAUGUGUAUACGUGCAUGCGUGCAUGUGUGUGUGUGUGUGUGUGUGUGUGUGUAGUCCUGUCUCAGGAAAAUGAGGGUCCACCUGAUGGACAAGGAGACUCUGCUGAACCCUGGGCGGUAAGACUCAGAAACACACACAUUAACACACUAAUACUCAUGCAGAGCUCAGAGGAGUGGUGUGUUUCCGUUGAUGUUAAGUUGUAAACAUGAUUUCGUCACUUCUAAACCUUCUGGGGUGAAUUUACCAAGAACAGAGUGGAGUUGCCUUUUGUACCAUGAGUUGUGCAUCAUUUGCCUCUGCUCUGAGCUCCAUCUCCACCACUCAUGUACAUUUGUGUAGUAAUUAAAGGCUACAAAUUUAUUUAUGAGAUGCGUGUGUGUGUGUGUUUUUGCGUGUGUUUUUGUGUAUGUGUUUUUGUGUUUUAUCCAGGCGCAUUGUGAGAAAUACAAAUUACCUUACUGCCAUCGGGAUUAUAACCCUGUUUGUGGUGAUGAUGGCGUAAUCUACAGUAACGAGUGUACACUCUGUUUUCACAACUUGUAAGAUGUGCACACACACACACACACACACACACGCACGCACGCACGCACGCAGGCACACACACACACACACACACACACACACACACACACACACACACACACACACACAAAUCUGCUCUUUCAAUCCUUUCUACCUGUUAAGGUAAUUCCUUGAGACAGCUGAGUUCUCAGAGUUUUUUUGUGACCACUAAUAUCUGCUCUGAGAUCAAUCUGAUGUUUUCAUCCCAUUGUCUUUGCUCUUACUGAGCUCAGAUCAAUGGAUAGCUUAGUUUGAGCAGAGAGAGCAGUGUGUUGUUAGCAUGCAGAUGGAUCACGAUGGCUGCAUCACCGAGUUUAAAGAGAUUUUAGGGUGAACAGGUUGUAUUUCUGUGAGUUGGGCUCUUUUAUGCUCUAGUGAGACUUUGUGAGAUUCUGGAUACAUGAUUUUGGCCAGUAUGCAGUAUGUCUCCAGAAAAUAAAAAGAGGCUGAGAGAGGAACCCUGAGGAACACCAUACUGAGGUUUAUCAGAGAGACAGAAAAACUCCUGUCAGAGAUAUAUUUACAGUCUAUAGCUCCCACACUCUGAUUUCUCAGACUAGUUUUAUAAUAUUCGUAUUAACUCCACACACACAUUUCAAAUGUAAAAACUAACUCCUUGAAUAUUGUUCAAGAUUUUUUUUUUGUUUUUCUACAGGGAGAAUCACGCCACUGUGAAAAUCCUGAGAGAAGGGAAAUGCGAUUAACUGCUGUGUGCCACACACAUGCACACACAUACUGAAUAAAGUCUCAUACUGAUUCCCUCACA